AUGAACGCUGGCGGCGUGCCUAAUACAUGCAAGUCGAGCGAACAGAUGAGGAGCUUGCUCCUCUGACGUUAGCGGCGGACGGGUGAGUAACACGUGGAUAACCUACCUAUAAGACUGGGAUAACUUCGGGAAACCGGAGCUAAUACCGGAUAAUCUAUUGAACCGCAUGGUUCAAUAGUGAAAGACGGUUUUGCUGUCACUUAUAGAUGGAUCCGCGCCGCAUUAGCUAGUUGGUAAGGUAACGGCUUACCAAGGCAACGAUGCGUAGCCGACCUGAGAGGGUGAUCGGCCACACUGGAACUGAGACACGGUCCAGACUCCUACGGGAGGCAGCAGUAGGGAAUCUUCCGCAAUGGGCGAAAGCCUGACGGAGCAACGCCGCGUGAGUGAUGAAGGUCUUCGGAUCGUAAAACUCUGUUAUUAGGGAAGAACAAAUGUGUAAGUAACUAUGCACGUCUUGACGGUACCUAAUCAGAAAGCCACGGCUAACUACGUG
Molecule: ribosomal RNA, 496 nt
Filed under: uncultured bacterium
Lineage: Bacteria
Description: partial 16S ribosomal RNA
Rfam family: Bacterial small subunit ribosomal RNA
Source: RNAcentral